Long non-coding RNA from Megalobrama amblycephala (Wuchang bream), 1608 nucleotides. RefSeq lists it as uncharacterized. NCBI's taxonomy places the organism in Eukaryota, Metazoa, Chordata, Actinopteri, Cypriniformes, Xenocyprididae. The record is from RefSeq and is a predicted model, not a curated record. The transcript has 3 exons.
ACGAGCUGUUAACAUGUUAGAGUGGUCUGCUUAGCUGGCAAAGACGGUCACGGAGCUCCUCAGCCCAAUGCUUUACAACAAACUUGAUUAUUAUGGGUUACGCAUUUCGAAUACAAGAAUUCACUAUCAAUUUGCCACUUUUUUUAGCUCUGAUCGUUGCUGGAUCGAGGUUCGAGACCACCAAGGGACAGAAUGUUACAAUAUCCUUCGACAUCGAUGAAGUGGAGAAAGCAGACGAAGUGAGGAUUACUUUUAGACAAGACAACAAGGAAAAGCCCGUUGUUAACGCUCGGCGACCUUGGAUCUAUGAUGAUAAACCUCCAGCUCGAUUUUCACUGCUGGUCGAGAAAGGACGCGUGUCUGUAACCAUUCAACAUGUCAGCAUCUCCAGCUCAGGACUCUAUACAGCAUGAGCCUUCUUUGGAAAGAAGAUGUAUCAACCAUCAGUAGAAAGUCUGUAAUUUCAUAUAUAUUUCAUAUAUAUUCUUUGGAAAGAAGAUGUAUGAGGUGAAAGCUACACUUGUUGUCAAAGAAGCAUCAUUUUCCUCCACUAAAGCUCCACCACACACCUCCACCCCAAAACCUCCCAACUCCUCUGACGUCCUCUGGCUAUAUGUAUUAAUUCCUCUAGUCAUUUUCAUCUCAGGGGUCCUUUACUUCUGUAAAUGCAUGAGGGCAAGUAUUACUUACAUUUAUUCUGUAUAUUAUAAAUCUUAUAAUAUGAUCAUUGCUGUGAUUCUAAUCAUCUAAGUCCAUAUUUGACAAAACAUUUCAGCUAAAAGUUUCUUCUAACAUGGAAGUUUAGGAGCAGCUCUUAAAAAUGAUCGGCGUGUCACUCCUAAUUUGAUCUAAAAGUAUCUGCUAAACCAGGACAGUUUUAAGUGUCCUCAUGAGCACUUGUAGAUCAGUAAGAGUGACUCAAAUACAAUCCUAAGCAUGGCUGCUGUUGCUUAUGUGUCGAAUAAAUAUUGGAAUAUUAAAGUGACACUGAUCUUUUAAAGGAUUAGUUCACUUUCAAAUGAAAAUUAGCCCAAGCUUUACUCACCCUCAUGCCAUCCUAGGUGUCUAUGACUUCUUUCUGAUGAACACAAUCUGAGAAAUAUUAAUAAAUAUUCAGACGCAUCUGAGCUUUAUAAUGGCAGUGAACGGGAUCAAACGAGAGUGAGCUGAAGAAAGGUCUCCAUCCUUCAUGAACAUAUUCCACACGGCUCUGGGGGUUAUUAAAGUUCUUUUAAAGCGAUGCGAUGCAUUUGUGUAAAAAAAAAAAUCCAUAUUUAACAAGUUAUGAAGUAAAAUAUCUAGCUUCCGCCAGACCGCCUUCCGUAUUUAAAUUAUAGAGGAAGAAAACGGCGAUGUGUCAGUUUCGUAAGUUGAAUAGGGAAGGCGUAAGCUUUUUGAAGAAUAUUUUGGUUACUUUAGUGUUGUUCGCAGGGCAAUUUUCCUCACUUAUUUCAAUACAAAAAAAUAUUUUGUCAGCCACAUAUGGUAAAAAUUAGCCAUAAUUUCUUUUUUAAAUCUAUCUGAAAUACUAUCUAUACUACACUACCAUUCAAAAAUUUGGGAUCGGUAAGAUUUUUAAUGUUUUUAAGAGAAGUUUCAUCUGCUCAC